This is a long non-coding RNA of Anolis carolinensis (green anole), 3504 nucleotides long. RefSeq lists it as uncharacterized. The transcript is spliced from 2 exons. NCBI's taxonomy places the organism in Eukaryota, Metazoa, Chordata, Lepidosauria, Squamata, Anolidae. The record is from RefSeq and is a predicted model, not a curated record.
UAGAGUCUCACUUAUCCAAGACUCCCUUAUCCAAGGUUCUGGAUUAUCCAAUGCAUUUUUGUAGUCAAUGUUUUCAAUAUAUCGUGAUAUUUUGGUGCUAAAUUCGUAAAUACAGUAAUUACAACAUAACAUUACUGCGUAUUGAACUACUUUUUCUGUCAAAUUUGUUGUAUAAAAUGAUGUUUUGGUGCGUAAUCUGUAAAAUCAUAACCUAAUUUAAUGUUUAAUAGGCUUUUCCUUAAUCUCUCCUUAUUAUCCAAGAUAUUCGCUUAUCCAAGGUUCUGCCAGCCCGUUUAGCUUGGGAGUCAAAUUCACUUACAGGACAAUCCAUUAUAGUGGAUCGGAAACAGCCCAGAAGACAUAUAUUCAACACAGAUAAAAGCAUGCAGAUAGUAGCUGAACAUCACAAGUAAGAACAUGCAUGUAGAAGAUACAAAAAGGACAUAAAACCUCCAUGCAUGUACCCUGAAAAGUCAGCCAGUGGCUGCCAACCAGAGACUGGGAUGUUAACAACACCUACAUGAAGGAUACCGGCUCUAGAUUGUCCGUAGAUGUGGCAGCCCUACCCACAGAGAACCAAAGAACUCACACCGAUGGAAAUGUGACUUGGAAUCCCCCAUUGAUCUGGGCAGCAGGCAUGUUUAGGAAGCAUAGGGCAUGCUAAUAUGGGGACUUUAGGGGGAAAGGUUGAGUCCAGGGAUGCCAUUGUUGCCCAUUGAGAUUUGCCACCUGAGGGGGUGACCCAUUCUUUUGUAGGACCAUCCCUAGUGAAGGGACCAUAAGCCAGAAAAUAGUAAACUUUUGCCUAUGUAGCUUUGCCUCUGCGUAUGCCCCUCCCUUCUUGUGAACUGGUGCCUUUCUAAGGGGUUGUUCCAAAGAGAGAAAAAGCUCAGAGUAAACAAGUGAGGUCACAGGUAUCAGUUAUGCCAAGUAGGUGUGGAAGGUGAGGAAGACCCUCAGCCAUUGGUCAAUUUUAGAUAAGCCAAAGGUAUAUAUUCUUUGUUUGCUACGCACAUGUUGCGACGGCCAUUUGCAUGGUACGGACCCACUAGAGUGGGUGCCUACGGCUGUUUGCCUUAUCAUCAGCUGUGAUGAUAAUAAAAGGCUUGUUUUAUUGCUCUCUUGGAAUUCUCUCCUUUACUUCCCCUCCGGGCUAGUCUCCAACACUAGUAAGGAAGUUCAAGUCCUUAUUUCCUUCAAAAAACGGGAAGGAAAUGAUUUCCCCACAAGUAGAGUAGAGAUAUCAGAUGUGUCACUUACCUGUGUCCAUCUUGCAAUGUUACUAUAAAUUGUACACUUUGCUAUUGCUCACAAGAUCUUGCUGACUGUCCGGCUACCAUGCAGCUGUGAAAAAGGCACAAAGCUGCCUUGCCAAGAAAGAGGGUGGCAGUCUUAACAAUCACUGUUUGUUUGUUUUUGUUUGCUUGCAAUUCAUUCUACAAAGUGCCAAGCAUAUGGUUUCUAUGAAGCACUACUGUAAAAGCAGAGGGGGUGGUCCUAUUUACUUAGACUGCAAGAAUGAGUAUGCAUGGUUAGCAUCAUAAUAAUUAAGAAAAUGUGGCGGGUUCGACAGGGGAAAUCACAGUUAAUUUCGUUGUUUGUGUAGGUGCUUGACCUGGUGCUAGAGGAACGGUGAGGAAAUAAUAUACCUGGUCUUUGCAAGUGUAGCUGUAGCAAGGUUUCUAGGGCUUCUGGAGAUCCCAUGAGAUGUGAGAUCUUACAGGAGCCCCAAACCCUUCAGGGAGAUCCUUGCCUUGUUGAACUUAGGUCAGGCCUCACAUAGGCUUCUUUCAUGUAUCCCAACCAUUAUCAACUAUCUCUUAUUGUUAUUUUGAAAACCUGGCAACCCUAUAUGCAACUUCCAUGGUCUGUGAAAGUAUUCAUCCCAUGGAUGGAAAUAAUGUCUUGAUUCCAGGACCUUAAAGGCUACAUGGAUGAAAGGAGAAGAUAGAAUUAUGAAAACAAGAAAUAUAUAAGAUCUCAGAAGGGAAGAAAGUGCUUUUUAUGCAGCCUGGAUUUGCAGGCUUCUAACUGGGAUGGGUAGAGUGACCUGAGAUGGGGGGAAAAAGAAAAAAAACAACAUCUCUUUUUAAGUUUUGCCAGCUAUUGUGAAAACAGGAAAAGGGUUCCUGUACCUAGAAUGGAUAUAUAAAAAGGGGAAUGUCAGCCCAUGUUGCUUGUGACCUGGCAGUAUGGAAAUCCAAUCUUGUUGAAAUUCCUUCCUCUAGCCAACCAUUAAAGGCACAGAAGCCUUCUCCAGUUUUUCCUCCGGCGAUUCUUAUCUGCCAGCAUAACUGUUCUGUGUCUGUCUUCAGCUAGUGUUAUGCAUUCGUGAGGGAUAAUUUUGCCCUUGCCAGUUUCUGAGGCUCAUUUGCUGGAAAUAAGAGAUGACAGAGUCUUGUCUGUUGUUUUAACUGCUCUCUGUUUUUAUGAUUAUGAACUCAUCAAGAAGGACAUUUGGUAUUUGGGCUGUUUAUAUAUUUUACAAACACGAUCUCUAAAGGCAUGCUCUCCAACCUUUCGCAGAUGAAAACGGGGCCAAGCAGCAUCAGAGUGUGUGGUCAAGAUGGUAAACAACAUUAUCGAUGAGAAAGAACAAAGAAACCAGGAGAGAAUGUAGCAGGUUGUUUUGCCUGCACCUAUUGGGAAAGCCACUAUUCCACACCUUCCUCUCCUGCUCCCCCUGCUGAGUGAAAACUGCUUCUGUACUUUGAACUCAAUUUGCAGCAAGUGAAGUAUGCUGAAGACAAAGGGGGAAAAGUGGGAGGAGAGGAGAGAAACUGGGACAUUUUAAAAUCAACUGAAAAGGUGGCGAGAUAAAGGCUUAGUACGGAAUGUCCCUGCCAAAUCAGGACAUCUGAAGGAUAUAUACAUGGCCAAUAAUCUAUUCUAGUAGUUGCCACUGGUUCGUGGAUCAAGUGGGGACAGUGGUUUCUCCCAUGUUCUGUGCCCGAUCCAAUAGAAACAUAGCCAGAUAUUCCUGGAUGUUAGAUUGAUAUGCAGAGCUAUAAAGAGACCAUUUUUGUUGGAAUGGGUAUACACAGAGACAAAAAUGGAGUGAGCGGCAGAAUGUAAAUGAGUAAAAUAGAUUAAAUAGAUUUCUAUAAAAAAUAAUUUCUAAAUGCAAUGACAAAAACAACACUUACCUAAUGCAUUUUAAUUAGGAAAUAUGUUGUGAAGCUUCCAAAAAAGCAAAUCUAUAGAAAACACAGCCUCGUACACUUUCAAGAAGAAGUGCAAACCAAUGCUUCUCAAGUUAUUUGAUGUGAGGGACUGACAGUUAUUUUGUUGCAAUGUGCCAUGGGCUGUACAUAGCAAAUAGACCAUAUUUGUUUCCAUUUGCUAUAAUCAUGCAUUCCUUUCCUGGAAACCCACCAGGGACCAGCACUUGUCUGAGAUCCACCACUUUGAGAAGCAUUAGUGGGAAAAAAGACAACAACGUCUCUUGUCUAGGAAGUAAAUGUAUUCUGUGAAGUCAUUCGGCUAUAAAGGGCUCACUUUUCA